Molecule: ribosomal RNA, 305 nt
Filed under: uncultured bacterium
Lineage: Bacteria
Description: partial 16S ribosomal RNA
Rfam family: Bacterial small subunit ribosomal RNA
Source: RNAcentral
GUUCCCUACGGGGGGCAGCAGUGGGGAAUAUUGGACAAUGGGGGGAACCCUGAUCCAGCGACGCCGCGUGAGUGAAGAAGUAUUUCGGUAUGUAAAGCUCUAUCAGCAGGGAAGAAAGAAAUGACGGUACCUGACUAAGAAGCCCCGGCUAACUACGUGCCAGCAGCCGCGGUAAUACGUAGGGGGCAAGCGUUAUCCGGAUUUACUGGGUGUAAAGGGAGCGUAGACGGCGAUGCAAGUCUGAAGUGAAAGGCGGGGGCCCAACCCCCGGACUGCUCUGGAAACUGUGUAACUUGAGGGCAGGG